GUUUGCUAAGAUUUCCAAUGGAAGAUGGAAUAGUCUCAAGCUUUGUGCAAUUUCGCAAGCUCAAUUCUUCAAGCCCGGCCAAAUGGUGGAAGGAUGAAGGUAUUUUUUUUAUUGUUGUUUUAUCUAAGAUGAGCACUUCUAGAUUUUCCAUAGUCACCUCGAGUUCAGGAAAAGUUUCAAGUGAUUCACAGUUAGUAAGGUCUAACUUGAUGAGUUUGCUUAGGUUUCCAAUGGAAGAUGGAAUGGUCUUAAGCUUUGUGCAAUUUCGCAAACUCAAUUCUUCAAGCCCAACCAAAUGGUGAAAGGAUGAAGUUAGUUCUUUUAUUGUUGUUUCGUCUAAGAUGAGGACUUCUAGAUUUUCCAUAGUCACCUCGAGUUCAGGAAAAGUUUCAAGUGAUUCACAGUCACUAAGGUCUAACUUGACGAGGUUGCUAAGAUUUCCAAUGGAAGAUGGAAUAAUCUUAAGCUUUGUGCAACUUCGCAAGUUCAAUUCUUCAAGCCCGGCCAAAUGGUGGAAGGAUGAAGGAAGUUCUUUUAUUGCUGUUUUGUCUAAGAUGAGCACUUCAAGAUUUUCCAUAGUCACCUUGAGUUCAGGAAAAGUUUCAAGUGAUUCACAGUCAGUAAGGUCUAACUUGAUGAGUUUGCUGAGAUUUCCAAUUGAAGACGGAAUAUUCUUAAGCUUUGUGCAACUUCGCAAGCUCAAUUCUUCAAGGCCGACCAAAUGGUGCAAGGAUGAAGGUAGUUCUUUUAUGGUUGUUUCUUCUAAGAUGAGCACUUCUAGAUUUUCCAUAAUUACCUCAAGUUCAGGAAAAGUUUCAAGUGAUUCACAGCAAGUAAGGUCUAACUUGAUGAGUUUGCUGAGAUUUCCAAUGGAAGAUGGAAUAGUCUUAAGCUUUGUGCAACUUCGUAAGCUUAAUUCUUCGAGUCCGACCAAAUGGUGCAAGGAUGAAGGC
This 953-nucleotide long non-coding RNA is filed under the name Medicago truncatula (barrel medic). Its description in RNAcentral is "long non-coding RNA (MTRU_LNC006585)". Lineage: Eukaryota; Viridiplantae; Streptophyta; Magnoliopsida; Fabales; Fabaceae. The record is from RNAcentral.